UACAGAGGUCUCAAGCGUUGUUCGGAUUCAUUGGGCGUAAAGGGUGCGUAGGCGGCGCGGUAAGUCGGGUGUGAAAUCUCGGAGCUUAACUCCGAAACUGCAUUCGAUACUGCCGUGCUUGAGGACUGGAGAGGAGACUGGAAUUUACGGUGUAGCGGUGAAAUGCGUAGAUAUCGUAAGGAAGACCAGUGGCGAAGGCGGGUCUCUGGACAUUUCCUAACGCUGAGGCACGAAAGCCAGGGGAGCAAACGGG
Molecule: ribosomal RNA, 253 nt
Filed under: uncultured bacterium
Lineage: Bacteria
Description: partial 16S ribosomal RNA
Rfam family: Bacterial small subunit ribosomal RNA
Source: RNAcentral